UACGUAGGAUGCAAGCGUUGUCCGGAUUUAUUGGGUUUAAAGGGUGCGUAGGCGGCCUAUUAAGUUAGUGGUGAAAACGUUCGGCUUAACCGGAUACCCGCCAUUGAUACUGAUAGACUUGAGUGCGACAGAGGGUGUUGGAAUGUGUGGUGUAGCGGUGAAAUGCUUAGAUAUCACGCAGAACACAAAUUGCGAAGGCAGAUGCCUAUGUCGUAACUGACGCUGAGACGCGACAGCAUGGGGAGCGAACAGG
RNAcentral lists this ribosomal RNA (253 nucleotides) under uncultured bacterium. Its description in RNAcentral is "partial 16S ribosomal RNA". It matches the Rfam family "Bacterial small subunit ribosomal RNA", at positions 524 to 776 of the family's 1533-position model. The record is from RNAcentral.